Molecule: ribosomal RNA, 237 nt
Filed under: uncultured Candidatus Saccharibacteria bacterium
Lineage: Bacteria; Candidatus Saccharimonadota
Description: partial 16S ribosomal RNA
Rfam family: Bacterial small subunit ribosomal RNA
Source: RNAcentral
UAAGCGUGUGAUGAAAUUUUCAGGGCUCAACCCUGAAACUGUUAUGCGAGCUGCAUCGCUAGAGUAUAUGAGGGGGUAGCUGGAAUUCCUAGUGUAGGAGUGAAAUCCGUAGAUAUUAGGAGGAACACCAAUGGCGUAGGCAGGCUACUGGCAUAUUACUGACACUGAGGCACGAAAGCGUGGGGAGCGAACGGGAUUAGAUACCCCGGUAGUCCACGCCGUAAACGAUGGAUGCUA